This 497-nucleotide ribosomal RNA is filed under the name uncultured bacterium. RNAcentral describes it as "partial 16S ribosomal RNA". It matches the Rfam family "Bacterial small subunit ribosomal RNA", at positions 28 to 507 of the family's 1533-position model. The record is from RNAcentral.
GAUGAACGCUGGCGGCGUGCCUAAUACAUGCAAGUCGAGCGAACAGACGAGGAGCUUGCUCCUCUGACGUUAGCGGCGGACGGGUGAGUAACACGUGGAUAACCUACCUAUAAGACUGGGAUAACUUCGGGAAACCGGAGCUAAUACCGGAUAAUAUAUUGAACCGCAUGGUUCAAUAGUGAAAGACGGUUUUGCUGUCACUUAUAGAUGGAUCCGCGCCGCAUUAGCUAGUUGGUAAGGUAACGGCUUACCAAGGCGACGAUGCGUAGCCGACCUGAGAGGGUGAUCGGCCACACUGGAACUGAGACACGGUCCAGACUCCUACGGGAGGCAGCAGUAGGGAAUCUUCCGCAAAGGGCGAAAGCCUGACGGAGCAACGCCGCGUGAGUGAUGAAGGUCUUCGGAUCGUAAAACUCGGUUAUUAGGGAAGAACAAAUGUGUAAGUAACUAUGCACGUCUUGACGGUACCUAAUCAGAAAGCCACGGCUAACUACGUG